Molecule: ribosomal RNA, 253 nt
Filed under: uncultured bacterium
Lineage: Bacteria
Description: partial 16S ribosomal RNA
Rfam family: Bacterial small subunit ribosomal RNA
Source: RNAcentral
AACGUAGGAGGCGAGCGUUAUCCGGAUUUACUGGGCGUAAAGCGCGUGCAGGUGGUUGGGUUAGUUGGAUGUGAAAGCUCCUGGCUUAACUGGGAGAGGUCGUUCAAUACUGCCCGACUUGAGUAUGGGAGAGGGAAGCGGAAUUCCGGGUGUAGUGGUGAAAUGCGUAGAUAUCCGGAGGAACACCAGUGGCGAAAGCGGCUUCCUGGUCCAUUACUGACACUCAGACGCGAAAGCUAGGGGAGCGAACGGG